RNAcentral lists this ribosomal RNA (305 nucleotides) under uncultured bacterium. RNAcentral's name for it is "bacterial SSU rRNA". It matches the Rfam family "Bacterial small subunit ribosomal RNA", at positions 333 to 635 of the family's 1533-position model. The record is from RNAcentral.
UGAAGCCUACGGGGGGCAGCAGUGAGGAAUAUUGGUCAAUGGGCGAGAGCCUGAACCAGCCAAGUCGCGUGCAGGAAGACGGCUCUAUGAGUUGUAAACUGCUUUUGUACAAGGGUAAACCUGAAUACGUGUAUUCAGCUGAAAGUACUGUACGAAUAAGGAUCGGCUAACUCCGUGCCAGCAGCCGCGGUAAUACGGAGGAUCCAAGCGUUAUCCGGAUUUAUUGGGUUUAAAGGGUGCGUAGGCGGAUUGAUAAGUUAGAGGUGAAAUGUCCGAGCUCAACUCGGGAACUGCCUCUAAUACUG